CCUAGGGGGUGCAGCAGUGGGGAAUAUUGGACAAUGGGCGAAAGCCUGAUCCAGCCAUGCCGCGUGUGUGAAGAAGGCCUUCGGGUUGUAAAGCACUUUCAGUGGGGAAGAAAGCCUUGGGGCUAAUACCCUCGAGGAAGGACAUCACCCACAGAAGAAGCACCGGCUAACUCCGUGCCAGCAGCCGCGGUAAUACGGAGGGUGCGAGCGUUAAUCGGAAUUACUGGGCGUAAAGCGCGCGUAGGUGGUCUGAUAAGCCGGUUGUGAAAGCCCCGGGCUCAACCUGGGAACGGCAUCCGGAACUGUCAGGCUAGAGUGCAGGAGAGGAAGGUAGAAUUCCCGGUGUAGCGGUGAAAUGCGUAGAGAUCGGGAGGAAUACCAGUGGCGAAGGCGGCCUUCUGGACUGACACUGACGCUGAGGUGCGAAAGCGUGGGUAGCAAACAGGAUUAGAUACCCCUGUAGUC
This 465-nucleotide ribosomal RNA is filed under the name Vreelandella stevensii. RNAcentral describes it as "partial 16S ribosomal RNA". It matches the Rfam family "Bacterial small subunit ribosomal RNA", at positions 338 to 795 of the family's 1533-position model. Lineage: Bacteria; Pseudomonadati; Pseudomonadota; Gammaproteobacteria; Oceanospirillales; Halomonadaceae. The record is from RNAcentral.